CAGUCGCCACGGGAAUACGUAGGGUGCAAGCGUUAAUCGGAAUUACUGGGCGUAAAGCGUGCGCAGGCGGUUAUAUAAGACAGAUGUGAAAUCCCCGGGCUCAACCUGGGAACUGCAUUUGUGACUGUAUAGCUAGAGUACGGCAGAGGGGGAUGGAAUUCCGCGUGUAGCAGUGAAAUGCGUAGAUAUGCGGAGGAACACCGAUGGCGAAGGCAAUCCCCUGAGCCUGUACUGACGCUCAUGCACGAAAGCGUGGGGAGCAAACAGGAUUAGAGACCCGUGUAGUCCCUGUCUCUUAUAC
Molecule: ribosomal RNA, 301 nt
Filed under: uncultured bacterium
Lineage: Bacteria
Description: partial 16S ribosomal RNA
Rfam family: Bacterial small subunit ribosomal RNA
Source: RNAcentral